AUGGCUCAGGAUAACGCUGGCGGCGUGCCUAAUACAUGCAAGUCGAAUGGUAGUAGCAAUACAAACCAUGGCGAACGGGUGAGUAACACGUAGGCAACCUGACUUUAAGACGAGGAUAACCGUUGGAAACGACGGAUAAUACUGGAUAGGACAUCAGAAAGGGCAUCCUUAGAUGUUUAAAGGUUAUUAUGCCACUUAGAGAGGGGCCUGCGGCGCAUUAGCUAGUUGGUGAGAUAACAGCCCACCAAGGCGAUGAUGCGUAGCCGGACUGAGAGGUUGAACGGCCACAAUGGAACUGAGAACGGUCCAUACUCCUACGGGAGGCAGCAGUAGGGAAUUUUCGGCAAUGGGCGCAAGCCUGACCGAGCAACGCCGCGUGAACGAAGAAGUUAUUCGUAAUGUAAAGUUCUUUUAUCUGGGAAGAAAAAACAAAUUGACGGUACCAGAUGAAUAAGCUCCGGCUAACUACGUGCCAGCCGCCGC
This 483-nucleotide ribosomal RNA is filed under the name uncultured bacterium. Its description in RNAcentral is "bacterial SSU rRNA". It matches the Rfam family "Bacterial small subunit ribosomal RNA", at positions 19 to 518 of the family's 1533-position model. The record is from RNAcentral.